Molecule: ribosomal RNA, 497 nt
Filed under: uncultured bacterium
Lineage: Bacteria
Description: partial 16S ribosomal RNA
Rfam family: Bacterial small subunit ribosomal RNA
Source: RNAcentral
GAUGAGCGCUGGCGGCGUGCCUAAUACAUGCAAGUCGAGCGAACAGACGAGGAGCUUGCUCCUCUGACGUUAGCGGCGGACGGGUGAGUAACACGUGGAUAACCUACCUAUAAGACUGGGAUAACUUCGGGAAACCGGAGCUAAUACCGGAUAAUAUAUUGAACCGCAUGGUUCAAUAGUGAAAGACGGUUUUGCUGUCACUUAUAGAUGGAUCCGCGCCGCAUUAGCUAGUUGGUAAGGUAACGGCUUACCAAGGCAACGAUGCGUAGCCGACCUGAGAGGGUGAUCGGCCACACUGGAACUGAGACACGGUCCAGACUCCUACGGGAGGCAGCAGUAGGGAAUCUUCCGCAAUGGGCGAAAGCCUGACGGAGCAACGCCGCGUGAGUGAUGAAGGUCUUCGGAUCGUAAAACUCUGUUAUUAGGGAAGAACAAAUGUGUAAGUAACUAUGCACGUCUUGACGGUACCUAAUCAGAAAGCCACGGCUAACUGCGUG